RNAcentral lists this ribosomal RNA (253 nucleotides) under uncultured bacterium. RNAcentral describes it as "partial 16S ribosomal RNA". It matches the Rfam family "Bacterial small subunit ribosomal RNA", at positions 524 to 776 of the family's 1533-position model. The record is from RNAcentral.
UACGUAGGUGGCAAGCGUUGUCCGGAAUUAUUGGGCGUAAAGCGCGCGCAGGCGGUCCUUUAAGUCUGAUGUGAAAGCCCACGGCUCAACCGUGGAGGGUCAUUGGAAACUGGGGGACUUGAGUGCAGAAGAGGAAAGCGGAAUUCCACGUGUAGCGGUGAAAUGCGUAGAGAUGUGGAGGAACACCAGUGGCAAAGGCGGCUUUCUGGUCUGUAACUGACGCUGAGGCGCGAAAGCGUGGGGAGCAAACAGG